AAUAUUGUUUUGAUGAAAAUUUAAGAUCAUUACUCUUCGGAGAUUGAUGAAAUUAAUUCUGCUUCCCUGAUU
Molecule: small nucleolar RNA, 72 nt
Organism: Tetrahymena thermophila SB210
Lineage: Eukaryota; Ciliophora; Oligohymenophorea; Hymenostomatida; Tetrahymenidae
Rfam family: Tetrahymena snoRNA TtnuCD3
Source: Rfam